RNAcentral lists this ribosomal RNA (253 nucleotides) under uncultured bacterium. RNAcentral's name for it is "partial 16S ribosomal RNA". It matches the Rfam family "Bacterial small subunit ribosomal RNA", at positions 524 to 776 of the family's 1533-position model. The record is from RNAcentral.
UACGUAGGUGGCAAGCGUUGUCCGGAAUUAUUGGGCGUAAAGCGCGCGCAGGCGGUCCUUUAAGUCUGAUGUGAAAGCCCACGGCUCAACCGUGGAGGGUCAUUGGAAACUGGGGGACUUGAGUGCAGAAGAGGAGAGUGGAACUCCACGUGUAGCGGUGAAAUGCGUAGAGAUGUGGAGGAACACCAGUGGCGAAGGCGACUCUCUGGUCUGUAACUGACGCUGAGGCGCGAAAGCGUGGGGAGCAAACAGG